GUGCCAGCCGCCGCGGUAAUACGUAGGUGGCAAGUGUUGUCCGGAAUUAUUGGGCGUAAAGCGCGCGCAGGCGGUCUCUUAAGUCUGAUGUGAAAGCCCACGGCUCAACCGUGGAGGGUCAUUGGAAACUGGGGGACUUGAGUACAGAAGAGGAAAGUGGAAUGCCACGUGUAGCGGUGAAAUGCGUAGAUAUGUGGAGGAACACCAGUGGCGAAGGCGACUUUCUGGUCUGUAACUGACGCUGAGGCGCGAAAGCGUGGGGAGCAAACAGGAUUAGAAACCCGUGUAGUCC
RNAcentral lists this ribosomal RNA (292 nucleotides) under uncultured bacterium. Its description in RNAcentral is "partial 16S ribosomal RNA". It matches the Rfam family "Bacterial small subunit ribosomal RNA", at positions 505 to 796 of the family's 1533-position model. The record is from RNAcentral.